Molecule: ribosomal RNA, 365 nt
Filed under: uncultured bacterium
Lineage: Bacteria
Description: bacterial SSU rRNA
Rfam family: Bacterial small subunit ribosomal RNA
Source: RNAcentral
AAGAUAGCAAACGGGUGAGUAUGGCGUAGAAACUAACCUAGAAAUUUAGUUAAAAACUUCAAAAUUUAUUUGUUUUUAGAAAGGUCUACGUAAAAUUAAGUAGUUGGUUAGAUUAAAUCCUUACCAAGCUUAUGAUUUUUAGUUGGUCUAUGAGGAUGAACAGCCACAUUGGAAUUGAGAUAUGGUCCAAACUCUAUAUUAAGAGGCAGCAGUGGGGAAUAUUGGGCAAUGAAUAAUAGUUUGACCCAGCUAAGUCAUGUGUAUGAUGAAGAUGUUUGAUUGUAAAGUACUUUUGUGAGUUAUAAUAAUGAUUGAUUUUUGAAUAAACCCUGGCUAAUUUCGUGCCAGCAGCCGCGGUAAAACGA